Molecule: ribosomal RNA, 505 nt
Filed under: uncultured bacterium
Lineage: Bacteria
Description: partial 16S ribosomal RNA
Rfam family: Bacterial small subunit ribosomal RNA
Source: RNAcentral
GACGAACGCUGGCGGCGUGCCUAAUACAUGCAAGUAGAACGCACAGUUUAUACCGUAGCUUGCUACACCAUAAACUGUGAGUUGCGAACGGGUGAGUAACGCGUAGGUAACCUGCCUGGUAGCGGGGGAUAACUAUUGGAAACGAUAGCUAAUACCGCAUAAUAUUGAUUAUUGCAUGAUAAUUGAUUGAAAGAUGCUAUUGCAUCACUACCAGAUGGACCUGCGUUGUAUUAGCUAGUAGGUGAGGUAACGGCUCACCUAGGCGACGAUACAUAGCCGACCUGAGAGGGUGAUCGGCCACACUGGGACUGAGACACGGCCCAGACUCCUACGGGAGGCAGCAGUAGGGAAUCUUCGGCAAUGGACGAAAGUCUGACCGAGCAACGCCGCGUGAGUGAAGAAGGUUUUCGGAUCGUAAAGCUCUGUUGUAAGAGAAGAACGGGUGUGAGAGUGGAAAGUUUGCACUGUGACGGUAUCUUACCAGAAAGGGACGGCUAACUACGUG